UGGGGAAUAUUGGACAAUGGGCGAAAGCCUGAUCCAGCCAUGCCGCGUGUGUGAAGAAGGUCUUCGGAUUGUAAAGCACUUUAAGUUGGGAGGAAGGGCAGUAAAUUAAUACUUUGCUGUUUUGACGUUACCGACAGAAUAAGCACCGGCUAACUCUGUGCCAGCAGCCGCGGUAAUACAGAGGGUGCAAGCGUUAAUCGGAAUUACUGGGCGUAAAGCGCGCGUAGGUGGUUUGUUAAGUUGGAUGUGAAAUCCCCGGGCUCAACCUGGGAACUGCAUCCAAAACUGGCAAGCUAGAGUAUGGUAGAGGGUGGUGGAAUUUCCUGUGUAGCGGUGAAAUGCGUAGAUAUAGGAAGGAACACCAGUGGCGAAGGCGACCACCUGGACUGAUACUGACACUGAGGUGCGAAAGCGUGGGGAGCAAACAGGAUUAGAUACCCUUGUAGUCCCUGAGCGGGCUGGCAAGGCGCAU
This 472-nucleotide ribosomal RNA is filed under the name uncultured bacterium. RNAcentral describes it as "bacterial SSU rRNA". It matches the Rfam family "Bacterial small subunit ribosomal RNA", at positions 355 to 825 of the family's 1533-position model. The record is from RNAcentral.